AUUUUGCUACUAUAGUAAAAUGAUUACGUUUGCCUUCCAAGUGAAAGUUUCGGCAGAAUA
Molecule: transfer RNA, 60 nt
Filed under: Gigantidas haimaensis
Lineage: Eukaryota; Metazoa; Mollusca; Bivalvia; Mytilida; Modiolidae
Description: tRNA-Gly
Source: RNAcentral